Zootermopsis nevadensis is the source of this 376-nucleotide non-coding RNA. The record is from RefSeq and is a predicted model, not a curated record. NCBI's taxonomy places the organism in Eukaryota, Metazoa, Arthropoda, Insecta, Blattodea, Termopsidae.
AGGGAGUAGUCUCUACACAAGCCAUGCUUCGGUGCACAGUCCAGACAACGUGGUUUCAAAGUGUUGGAGUGAUUUUGUUGUGUUGAUAGUGGCAGGUUUUACUUUGGAUAAUGCAAUUUUGUUACAAUCAAAAACACUGAACCUCUCGUAGUUUUAACUUCGAACAAGGAUUACCAGACAGGAGUUCAAUCGAGCUCAACGUGACGAAUACAACUGGCUUGUUGGGUGCAGCUGGAGACUUGGGGCUGUAGGGAAUGCGAUGUAAAGUGAGGAUGUAGCCGUCUGUAGUGGUCACUGUGUGGUUCUCCGCUGGAUAGCCAUAUUUGACGAUCAAUUCUGGCUGCGAAACAAACGCUGAAUGUUAAAAUAUUAUUGC